AAUGGAAAGAGAUAGCAGCUCGUGGUGUUUUACCUCGGACCUCUUGUGCUUGGCACAGGAAAUGAAAGCUUCCGUGAACAUGGCCACAGGGCUCUGCUUAUCUGGCUACACGGGACCCUGAUGACUCAGGGUGACCCGGCCAAGCAACUGUAUGAAGAGCUGGUACACGCAGGUUUCCCAAAACUAGCUGAAAAGACUCGUCAUUUCAAAAGCAAAACUGACUCAAACUCCAAGAAAUGUGUAGUUUCAUAAAUGCCUAAAGAAAUUGUAUUUACAUGAUUUUCCACUCAGCAUUCAGUUCUUUUAAUGCCAUAAAUUUCUUCUAGCAGUAGCACUGAUUUUCAACUAUGAUGAUGGUGGUGACAGGGAACUCUAACAGAUGAAAGAAGAGUAAUACCAUGAUACUUUUCAACCACUAAAAAGUCAAAUAUAGUUUUUUUUGCUGAGGGCAAGUUGUAUGUGAUUUUCCCAUUUCUAUCAAUCAUUUGAUGUAAUCCAUGUAAUAAGAUAAUCUAGGACGGUUUUGUAUGUCAUGUUUUUUUAAAAAACUCAUGGGAGCAGC
RNAcentral lists this long non-coding RNA (562 nucleotides) under Homo sapiens (human). RNAcentral describes it as "HSALNT0089832". The record is from RNAcentral. Lineage: Eukaryota; Metazoa; Chordata; Mammalia; Primates; Hominidae.